This 773-nucleotide ribosomal RNA is filed under the name Bacillus licheniformis. Its description in RNAcentral is "bacterial SSU rRNA". It matches the Rfam family "Bacterial small subunit ribosomal RNA", at positions 64 to 818 of the family's 1533-position model. Lineage: Bacteria; Bacillati; Bacillota; Bacilli; Caryophanales; Bacillaceae. The record is from RNAcentral.
GAGCGGACCGACGGGAGCUUGCUCCCUUAGGUCAGCGGCGGACGGGUGAGUAACACGUGGGUAACCUGCCUGUAAGACUGGGAUAACUCCGGGAAACCGGGGCUAAUACCGGAUGCUUGAUUGAACCGCAUGGUUCAAUCAUAAAAGGUGGCUUUUAGCUACCACUUGCAGAUGGACCCGCGGCGCAUUAGCUAGUUGGUGAGGUAACGGCUCACCAAGGCGACGAUGCGUAGCCGACCUGAGAGGGUGAUCGGCCACACUGGGACUGAGACACGGCCCAGACUCCUACGGGAGGCAGCAGUAGGGAAUCUUCCGCAAUGGACGAAAGUCUGACGGAGCAACGCCGCGUGAGUGAUGAAGGUUUUCGGAUCGUAAAACUCUGUUGUUAGGGAAGAACAAGUACCGUUCGAAUAGGGCGGUACCUUGACGGUACCUAACCAGAAAGCCACGGCUAACUACGUGCCAGCAGCCGCGGUAAUACGUAGGUGGCAAGCGUUGUCCGGAAUUAUUGGGCGUAAAGCGCGCGCAGGCGGUUUCUUAAGUCUGAUGUGAAAGCCCCCGGCUCAACCGGGGAGGGUCAUUGGAAACUGGGGAACUUGAGUGCAGAAGAGGAGAGUGGAAUUCCACGUGUAGCGGUGAAAUGCGUAGAGAUGUGGAGGAACACCAGUGGCGAAGGCGACUCUCUGGUCUGUAACUGACGCUGAGGCGCGAAAGCGUGGGGAGCGAACAGGAUUAGAUACCCUGGUAGUCCACGCCGUAAACGAUGAGUGCUA